AUUGAACGCUGGCGGCAUGCCUUACACAUGCAAGUCGAACGGCAGCGCGUCCUUCGGGAUGGCGGCGAGUGGCGAACGGGUGAGUAAAGCAUCGGAACGUGCCCGGUAGUGCGGGAUAGCUCGGCGAAAGCCGGAUUAAUACCGCAUGAGAUCCGAGGAUGAAAGCAGGGGACCCGCAAGGGCCUUGCGCUACUGGAGCGGCCGAUGUCAGAUUAGGUAGUUGGUGAGGUAAAGGCUCACCAAGCCUGCGAUCUGUAGCUGGUCUGAGAGGAUGAUCAGCCACAUCGGGACUGAGACACGGCCCGAACUCCUACGGGAGGCAGCAGUGGGGAAUUUUGGACAAUGGGCGCAAGCCUGAUCCAGCCAUGCCGCGUGCAGGAUGAAGGCCUUCGGGUUGUAAACUGCUUUUGUACGGAACG
RNAcentral lists this ribosomal RNA (419 nucleotides) under Comamonas sp. RB1-11. RNAcentral's name for it is "bacterial SSU rRNA". It matches the Rfam family "Bacterial small subunit ribosomal RNA", at positions 30 to 447 of the family's 1533-position model. Lineage: Bacteria; Pseudomonadati; Pseudomonadota; Betaproteobacteria; Burkholderiales; Comamonadaceae. The record is from RNAcentral.